AGGAGCAAGACGGAUUCGAACCGCCGACGUCAAAGACGCAGAAUUUAGCAAAUUCUUGCAAUAAACCAACUAUGCGAUUGCCCC
Molecule: transfer RNA, 84 nt
Filed under: Hyperionvirus sp.
Lineage: Varidnaviria; Bamfordvirae; Nucleocytoviricota; Megaviricetes; Imitervirales; Mimiviridae
Description: tRNA-Ser
Source: RNAcentral